This 497-nucleotide ribosomal RNA is filed under the name uncultured bacterium. RNAcentral describes it as "partial 16S ribosomal RNA". It matches the Rfam family "Bacterial small subunit ribosomal RNA", at positions 28 to 507 of the family's 1533-position model. The record is from RNAcentral.
GAUGAACGCUGGCGGCGUGCCUAAUACAUGCCAGUCGAGCGAACGGACGAGAAGCUUGCUUCUCUGAUGUUAGCGGCGGACGGGUGAGUAACACGUGGAUAACCUACCUAUAAGACUGGGAUAACUUCGGGAAACCGGAGCUAAUACCGGAUGAUAUUUUGAACCGCAUGGUUCAAAAGUGAAAGACGGUCUUGCUGUCACUUAUAGAUGGAUCCGCGCUGCAUUAGCUAGUUGGUAAGGUAACGGCUUACCAAGGCAACGAUGCAUAGCCGACCUGAGAGGGUGAUCGGCCACACUGGAACUGAGACACGGUCCAGACUCCUACGGGAGGCAGCAGUAGGGAAUCUUCCGCAAUGGGCGAAAGCCUGACGGAGCAACGCCGCGUGAGUGAUGAAGGUCUUCGGAUCGUAGAACUCUGUUAUUAGGGAAGAACAUAUGUGUAAGUAACUGUGCACAUCUUGACGGUACCUAAUCAGAAAGCCACGGCUAACUACGUG